RNAcentral lists this ribosomal RNA (253 nucleotides) under uncultured bacterium. Its description in RNAcentral is "partial 16S ribosomal RNA". It matches the Rfam family "Bacterial small subunit ribosomal RNA", at positions 524 to 776 of the family's 1533-position model. The record is from RNAcentral.
UACAGAGGUCUCAAGCGUUGUUCGGAUUCACUGGGCGUAAAGGGCGCGCAGGCGGCUCGACAAGUCAGAUGUGAAAGCCCCGGGCUCAACCUGGGAACGGCAUUUGGGACUGUCGGGCUAGAGUUCGGGAGAGGUGGGUGGAAUUCCCAGUGUAGAGGUGAAAUUCGUAGAUAUUGGGAAGAACACCGGUGGCGAAGGCGGCUCACUGGACCGAGACUGACGCUGAGGCGCGAAAGCGUGGGGAGCAAACAGG